GACGAACGCUGGCGACGCGCUUAACACAUGCAAGUCGAACGGAAAGGCCUGCUUUCCCUUGUGGAUUGCGGGUACUCGAGUGGCGAACGGGUGAGUAACACGUGAGUGAUCUGCCCCCAACUUGGGUAUAAGCCUGGGAAACUGGGUCUAAUUCCCGAUAGGACUGCAGGGUGGUGCCUGUGGUGGAAAACGAUUUUCUAGUGGUUGGGGAUGAGCUCGCGGCCUAUCAGCUUGUUGGUGGGGUAAUGGCCUACCAAGGCGGCGACGGGUAGCCGGCCUGGGAGGGUGGACGGUCACAUUGGGACUGGGAUACGGCCCAGACUCCUACGGGAGGCAGCAGUGGGGAAUAUUGCAGAAUGGGCGGAAGCCUGAUGCAGCGACGCAGCGUGGGGGAUGACGGCCUUCGGGUUGUAAACUCCUUUCGACCGCGAGGAAGCCACCUGGUUGGAAGGGUGGUGACGGUAGUGGUAGAAGAAGCACCGGCUAACUACGUG
RNAcentral lists this ribosomal RNA (494 nucleotides) under uncultured bacterium. RNAcentral's name for it is "partial 16S ribosomal RNA". It matches the Rfam family "Bacterial small subunit ribosomal RNA", at positions 28 to 507 of the family's 1533-position model. The record is from RNAcentral.